Molecule: ribosomal RNA, 465 nt
Filed under: uncultured bacterium
Lineage: Bacteria
Description: bacterial SSU rRNA
Rfam family: Bacterial small subunit ribosomal RNA
Source: RNAcentral
GGCGGACUGGUGAGUAACGCGUGAGGAACCUGCCUUUCAGAGGGGGACAACAGUUGGAAACGACUGCUAAUACCGCAUGACGCAUUUUGAUCGCAUGGUCGAAAUGCCAAAGAUUUAUCGCUGAAAGAUGGCCUCGCGUCUGAUUAGCUAGUUGGUGAGGUAACGGCCCACCAAGGCGACGAUCAGUAGCCGGACUGAGAGGUUGACCGGCCACAUUGGGACUGAGAUACGGCCCAGACUCCUACGGGAGGCAGCAGUGGGGAAUAUUGGGCAAUGGGCGCAAGCCUGACCCAGCAACGCCGCGUGAAGGAAGAAGGCUUUCGGGUUGUAAACUUCUUUUAAGUGGGAAGAGUAGAAGACGGUACCACUUGAAUAAGCCACGGCUAACUACGUGCCAGCAGCCGCGGUAAUACGUAGGUGGCAAGCGUUGUCCGGAUUUACUGGGUGUAAAGGGCGUGCAGCCGG